GACGAACGCUGGCGGCGUGCUUAACACAUGCAAGUCGAACGGAAAGGCCCUGCUUUUGUGGGGUGCUCGAGUGGCGAACGGGUGAGUAACACGUGAGUAACCUGCCCUUGACUUUGGGAUAACUUCAGGAAACUGGGGCUAAUACCGGAUAGGAGCUCCUGCUGCAUGGUGGGGGUUGGAAAGUUUCGGCGGUUGGGGAUGGACUCGCGGCUUAUCAGCUUGUUGGUGGGGUAGUGGCUUACCAAGGCUUUGACGGGUAGCCGGCCUGAGAGGGUGACCGGCCACAUUGGGACUGAGAUACGGCCCAGACUCCUACGGGAGGCAGCAGUGGGGAAGAUUGCACAAUGGGCGGAAGCCUGAUGCAGCAACGCCGCGUGCGGGAUGAUGGCCUUCGGGUUGUAAACCGCUUUCGCCUGUGACGAAGCGUGAGUGACGGUAAUGGGUAAAGAAGCACCGGCUAACUACGUG
This 468-nucleotide ribosomal RNA is filed under the name uncultured bacterium. Its description in RNAcentral is "partial 16S ribosomal RNA". It matches the Rfam family "Bacterial small subunit ribosomal RNA", at positions 28 to 507 of the family's 1533-position model. The record is from RNAcentral.